GACGAACGCUGGCGGCGUGCCUAAUACAUGCAAGUCGAACGCACUCUCGUUUAGAUUGAAGGAGCUUGCUCCUGAUUGAUAAACAUUUGAGUGAGUGGCGGACGGGUGAGUAACACGUGGGUAACCUGCCCUAAAGUGGGGGAUAACAUUUGGAAACAGAUGCUAAUACCGCAUAAAACCUAAACACCGCAUGGUGUAGGGUUGAAAGAUGGUUUCGGCUAUCACUUUAGGAUGGACCGCGGUGCAUUAGUUAGUUGGUGAGGUAAAGGGACUCACCAAGAACCGUGAUGCAUAGCCGA
Molecule: ribosomal RNA, 299 nt
Filed under: uncultured bacterium
Lineage: Bacteria
Description: partial 16S ribosomal RNA
Rfam family: Bacterial small subunit ribosomal RNA
Source: RNAcentral